Molecule: ribosomal RNA, 253 nt
Filed under: uncultured bacterium
Lineage: Bacteria
Description: partial 16S ribosomal RNA
Rfam family: Bacterial small subunit ribosomal RNA
Source: RNAcentral
GACGGAGGAUGCAAGUGUUAUCCGGAAUCACUGGGCGUAAAGCGUCUGUAGGUGGUCAAAUAAGUCAACUGUUAAAUCUUGAGGCUCAACCUCAAAAUCGCAGUCGAAACUAUUAGACUAGAGUAUAGUAAGGGUAAAGGGAAUUUCCAGUGGAGCGGUGAAAUGCGUAGAGAUUGGAAAGAACACCGAUGGCGAAGGCACUUUACUGGGCUAUUACUAACACUCAGAGACGAAAGCUAGGGUAGCAAAUGGG